GUAGGGGCCAAGCGUUGUCCGGAUUUAUUGGGCGUAAAGAGCUCGUAGGCGGUUGGGUAAGUCGGGUGUGAAAACUCCAGGCUCAACUUGGAGACGCCACCCGAUACUGCUCUGACUUGAGUUCGGUAGGGGAGUGGGGAAUUCCUGGUGUAGCGGUGAAAUGCGCAGAUAUCAGGAGGAACACCGGUGGCGAAGGCGCCACUCUGGGCCGAAACUGACGCUGAGGAGCGAAAGCGUGGGUAGCAAACAGGAUUAGAUACCCUGGUAGUCCACGCCGUAAACGUUGGGCACUAGGUGUGGGCCCUAACCAACGGGGUCCGUGCCGUAGCUAACGCAUUAAGUGCCCCGCCUGGGGAGUACGGCCGCAAGGUUA
This 373-nucleotide ribosomal RNA is filed under the name uncultured bacterium. Its description in RNAcentral is "bacterial SSU rRNA". It matches the Rfam family "Bacterial small subunit ribosomal RNA", at positions 527 to 896 of the family's 1533-position model. The record is from RNAcentral.